UACGUAGGUGGCAAGCGUUGUCCGGAUUUACUGGGCGUAAAGAGCGCGCAGGCGGUCGGAUAAGUCGAAUGUGAAAGCCCCUGGCUCAACUAGGGAGAGUCAUUCGAUACUGUUCGACUCGAAGGCAGGAGAGGGAAGUGGAAUUCCGGGUGUAGUGGUGAAAUGCGUAGAUAUCCGGAGGAACACCAGUGGCGAAGGCGACUUUCUGGCCUGUUCUUGACGCUGAGGCGCGAAAGCUAGGGGAGCAAACGGG
RNAcentral lists this ribosomal RNA (253 nucleotides) under uncultured bacterium. RNAcentral's name for it is "partial 16S ribosomal RNA". It matches the Rfam family "Bacterial small subunit ribosomal RNA", at positions 524 to 776 of the family's 1533-position model. The record is from RNAcentral.